UACGAAGGGGGCUAGCGUUGCUCGGAAUGACUGGGCGUAAAGCGCGCGCAGGCGGUUCUUCAAGUCAGUGGUGAAAGCCCGGAGCUCAACUCCGGAACUGCCAUUGAAACUGUAGAACUUGAGGAUAAGAGAGGUGAGUGGAAUUCCCAGUGUAGAGGUGAAAUUCGUAGAUAUUGGGAAGAACACCGGUGGCGAAGGCGGCUCACUGGCUCAUUUCUGACGCUCAGGCGCGACAGCGUGGGGAUCAAACAGG
Molecule: ribosomal RNA, 253 nt
Filed under: uncultured bacterium
Lineage: Bacteria
Description: partial 16S ribosomal RNA
Rfam family: Bacterial small subunit ribosomal RNA
Source: RNAcentral